RNAcentral lists this ribosomal RNA (783 nucleotides) under Triticum aestivum (bread wheat). RNAcentral's name for it is "partial small subunit ribosomal RNA". The record is from RNAcentral. Lineage: Eukaryota; Viridiplantae; Streptophyta; Magnoliopsida; Poales; Poaceae.
AUGGCCGCGGCGACGGCCAUGGCUAUGGCCAUGCUGGCGGCGCUGGCGAUCCUCAUGCCGUCCGCGCGAGGGCUCAGCCGCGCUGAGUUCCCGCGGGGGUUCCUCUUCGGCGUCGCGACGUCUGCUUACCAGAUCGAGGGCGCGUACCUGGAGGACGGCAAGGGCCUCAGCAACUGGGAUGUCUUCACCCACACACGGCCUGGGGGAAUCAAGGAUGGACGGAACGGGGACGUAGCGGAUGAUCACUACCACCGGUACAUGGAAGAUGUGGAGAUCAUUCAUAGUUUGGGUGUCAAUUCCUACAGAUUCUCAAUUUCAUGGGCGAGAAUCCUACCAAGAGGCCUGCUUGGAGGCGUUAAUUCAGCUGGGAUAGCUUUCUACGACCGCCUGAUCGCUGCACUCGUGCAGAAGGGGAUAGAGCCAUUUGUGACACUGUAUCACUUUGAUCUGCCGCGCGAAAUGGAGACCCGAUACGGUGGUUGGUUGGGCGCCGGAAUCCGGAGGAGUUUGACUACUACGCGGACGUGUGUUUCAAGGCGUUUGGGGACCGGGUCAAGUUCUGGACGACGUUCAACGAGCCCAACCUGUUCGCCAAGCUCGCCUAAAUGGUGGGCAAGUACCCUCCGGCACGCUGCUCCGCGCCGUUCGGGACCUGCGAGAGCGGGAACUCUCAUCGGGAACCCUACGUCGUGGCUCAUAACAUGCUGUUGUCACAUGCAGCCGCCGUCCACAACUACAAGAAGAAUUAUCAGGCAACGCAAGGCGGAUCCAUCGGGAUCGUGA